UGGUGGAGUGAUUUGUCUGGUUAAUUCCGAUAACGAACGAGACCCCGUCCUACUUACUAGACCGAGGAUCCUCUCGUUCUCGCUGUCUUCUUAGAGGGACAACUGCUUGUACCUUGAACUACAUGAAAUGGGGCAAUAACA
This 141-nucleotide ribosomal RNA is filed under the name uncultured eukaryote. RNAcentral's name for it is "partial 18S ribosomal RNA". It matches the Rfam family "Eukaryotic small subunit ribosomal RNA", at positions 1299 to 1458 of the family's 1831-position model. The record is from RNAcentral.